UUAUUCAUACUUUUCGGUGAUCAUUGUCUC
RNAcentral lists this non-coding RNA (30 nucleotides) under Rattus norvegicus (Norway rat). Lineage: Eukaryota; Metazoa; Chordata; Mammalia; Rodentia; Muridae. The record is from RNAcentral.